This 466-nucleotide ribosomal RNA is filed under the name uncultured bacterium. Its description in RNAcentral is "partial 16S ribosomal RNA". It matches the Rfam family "Bacterial small subunit ribosomal RNA", at positions 28 to 507 of the family's 1533-position model. The record is from RNAcentral.
GAUGAACGCUGGCGGCGUGCUUAACCCAUGCAAGUCGAACGAUGAAGCCCAGCUUGCUGGGUGGAUUAGUGGCGAACGGGUGAGUAACACGUGAGUAACCUGCCCUUAACUCUGGGAUAAGCCUGGGAAACGGGGUCUACUACUGGUUAGGAGCGCCUACUGCACGGUGGGUGUUGGAAAGAUUUAUCGGGUUUGGAUGGACUCGCGGCCUAUCAGCUUGUUGGUGAGGUAAUGGCUCACCAGGGCGACGACGGGUGGCCGGCCUGAGAGGGUGACCGGCCACACUGGGACUGAGACACGGGCCAGACUCCUACGGGCGGCAGCAGUGGGGAAUAUUGCACAAUGGGCGAAAGCCUGAUGCAGCGACGCCGCGUGGGGGAUGACGGCCUUCCGGUUGUAAACCUCUUUCAGCAGGGAAGAAGCGAAAGUGACGGUACCUGCAGAAGAAGCAACGGCUAACUACGUG